GACGAACGCUGGCGGCAUGCCUAACACAUGCAAGUCGAACGGAGAUUCCUUCGGUAUUCUUAGUUGCGAACGGGUGAGUAACGCUUGGUCAACCUGCCCUCUAGAUGUGGACAACAUCCCGAAAUGGGUGCUAAUACCGUAUGUUACAGCAAUCUCGCAUGAGGAUUCUGUGACAGUUGUCCUCUAUUUAUAAGCUAUCUCUAGAGGAUGGUCCUGCGUCUGAUUGGCUAGUUGGUGGGGUAACGGCCUACCAAGGCGAUGAUCAGUAUCCGGUCUGAGAGGAUGAACGGCCAAAAUGGGAAUGAGAAAAGGCACAGAAGGCUAAGGGAGGGAGAAGUGGGGAAACUUGCGAAAUGGGGGAAAGACAGAAGGAAAAAAGCCGAGGGAGUGAUGAAGGAAGUCGGUGCGUAAAGCACGUUUGUUUAGGAAGAAAGUGAAGAUUGUAAAUAAUAAUAUGUAAUGACGGUAGUAAAAGAAUAAGCAACGGCUAACUACGUG
This 498-nucleotide ribosomal RNA is filed under the name uncultured bacterium. Its description in RNAcentral is "partial 16S ribosomal RNA". It matches the Rfam family "Bacterial small subunit ribosomal RNA", at positions 28 to 507 of the family's 1533-position model. The record is from RNAcentral.